RNAcentral lists this transfer RNA (68 nucleotides) under Ictidomys tridecemlineatus (thirteen-lined ground squirrel). RNAcentral's name for it is "Spermophilus tridecemlineatus (thirteen-lined ground squirrel) tRNA". It matches the Rfam family "tRNA". Rfam says of the family: Transfer RNA (tRNA) molecules are approximately 80 nucleotides in length. Their secondary structure includes four short double-helical elements and three loops (D, anti-codon, and T loops). Further hydrogen bonds mediate the characteristic L-shaped molecular structure. tRNAs have two regions of fundamental functional importance: the anti-codon, which is responsible for specific mRNA codon recognition, and the 3' end, to which the tRNAs corresponding amino acid is attached (by aminoacyl-tRNA synthetases). tRNAs cope with the degeneracy of the genetic code in two manners: having more than one tRNA (with a specific anti-codon) for a particular amino acid; and 'wobble' base-pairing, i.e. permitting non-standard base-pairing at the 3rd anti-codon position. The record is from Rfam by way of RNAcentral. Lineage: Eukaryota; Metazoa; Chordata; Mammalia; Rodentia; Sciuridae.
GGGGUUGUAGCUCAGGGUUGAGCACUUGCCUGACAUGCAUGAGGCACUGGAUUUGAUCCUCAGCGCCA